GGGUUCUGAGAGGAAGGUCCCCCACAUUGGAACUGAGACACGGUCCAAACUCCUACGGGAGGCAGCAGUGAGGAAUAUUGGUCAAUGGGCGAGAGCCUGAACCAGCCAAGUAGCGUGCAGGAUGACGGCCCUCUGGGUUGUAAACUGCUUUUAGUUGGGAACAAAAAAGGCGACGUGUCGCCUCUGGAGUGUACCAUCAGAAAAAGGACCGGCUAAUUCCGUGCCAGCAGCCGCGGUAAUACGGAAGGUCCAGGCGUUAUCCGGAUUUAUUGGGUUUAAAGGGAGCGUAGGCGGACGAUUAAGUCAGCUGUGAAAGUUUGCGGCUCAACCGUAAAAUUGCAGUUGAAACUGGUUGUCUUGAGUGCACGCAGGGAUGUUGGAAUUCAUGGUGUAGCGGUGAAAUGCUUAGAUAUCAUGAAGAACUCCGAUCGCGAAGGCAUAUGUCCGGAGUGCAACUGACGCUGAGGCUCGAAAGUGCGGGUAUCGAACAGGAUUAGAUACCCUGGUAGUCCGCACAGUAAACGAUGAAUACUCGCAGUAUGCGAUAUAGUGUAUGCUGCCAAGUGAAAACGUUAAGUAUUCCACCUGGGGAGUACGCCGGCAACGGUGAAACUCAAAGGAAUUGACGGGGGCCCGCACAAGCGGAGGAACAUGUGGUUUAAUUCGAUGAUACGCGAGGAACCUUACCCGGGCUUGAACUAAGCAGGAAGAUGGGCAGAGACGCCCGUUGUCUUCGGACCUGCUUGGAGGUGCUGCAUGGUUGUCGUCAGCUCGUGCCGUGAGGUGUCGGCUUAAGUGCCAUAACGAGCGCAACCCUUCUCCACGUUUGCCAUCAGGUUGUGCUGGGCACUCCGUGGAUACUGCCAUCGUAAGAUGUGAGGAAGGUGGGGAUGACGUCAAAUCAGCACGGCCCUUACGUCCGGGGCUACACACGUGUUACAAUGGCCGGUACAGAGGGAAGCCACCAGGCGACUGGGCGCUGAUCCAUUAAAACCGGUCUCAGUUCGGACUGGAGUCUGCAACCCGACUCCACGAAGCUGGAUUCGCUAGUAAUCGCGCAUCA
This 1063-nucleotide ribosomal RNA is filed under the name metagenome. Its description in RNAcentral is "bacterial SSU rRNA". It matches the Rfam family "Bacterial small subunit ribosomal RNA", at positions 287 to 1351 of the family's 1533-position model. The record is from RNAcentral.